CAGGCUUAACACAUGCAAGUCGAGGGGCAGCAUUUCACCUUUGCUUGCAAACUGGAGAUGGCGACCGGCGCACGGGUGAGUAACACGUAUCCAACCUGCCGAUAACUCGGGGAUAGCCUUUCGAAAGAAAGAUUAAUACCCGAUGGUAUAAUCAGACCGCAUGGUCUUGUUAUUAAAGAAUUUCGGUUAUCGAUGGGGAUGCGUUCCAUUAGGCAGUUGGUGAGGUAACGGCUCACCAAACCUUCGAUGGAUAGGGGUUCUGAGAGGAAGGUCCCCCACAUUGGAACUGAGACACGGUCCAAACUCCUACGGGAGGCAGCAGUGAGGAAUAUUGGUCAAUGGGCGCAGGCCUGAACCAGCCAAGUAGCGUGAAGGAUGACUGCCCUAUGGGUUGUAAACUUCUUUUAUAUGGGAAUAAAGUUUUCCACGUGUGGAAUUUUGUAUGUACCAUAUGAAUAAGGAUCGGCUAACUCCGUGCCAGCAGCCGCGGUAAUACGGAGGAUCCGAGCGUUAUCCGGAUUUAUUGGGUUUAAAGGGAGCGUAGGUGGACAGUUAAGUCAGUUGUGAAAGUUUGCGGCUCAACCGUAAAAUUGCAGUUGAUACUGGCUGUCUUGAGUACAGUAGAGGUGGGCGGAAUUCGUGGUGUAGCGGUGAAAUGCUUAGAUAUCACGAAGAACUCCGAUUGCGAAGGCAGCUCACUGGACUGCAACUGACACUGAUGCUCGAAAGUGUGGGUAUCAAACAGGAUUAGAUACCCUGGUAGUCCACACAGUAAACGAUGAAUACUCGCUGUUUGCGAUAUACAGUAAGCGGCCAAGCGAAAGCAUUAAGUAUUCCACCUGGGGAGUACGCCGGCAACGGUGAAACUCAAAGGAAUUGACGGGGGCCCGCACAAGCGGAGGAACAUGUGGUUUAAUUCGAUGAUACGCGAGGAACCUUACCCGGGCUUAAAUUGCAUUUGAAUAUAUUGGAAACAGUAUAGCCGUAAGGCAAAUGUGAAGGUGCUGCAUGGUUGUCGUCAGCUCGUGCCGUGAGGUGUCGGCUUAAGUGCCAUAACGAGCGCAACCCUUAUCUUUAGUUACUAACAGGUCAUGCUGAGGACUCUAGAGAGACUGCCGUCGUAAGAUGUGAGGAAGGUGGGGAUGACGUCAAAUCAGCACGGCCCUUACGUCCGGGGCUACACACGUGUUACAAUGGGGGGUACAGAAGGCAGCUACCUGGUGACAGGAUGCUAAUCCCAAAAGCCUCUCUCAGUUCGGAUCGAAGUCUGCAACCCGACUUCGUGAAGCUGGAUUCGCUAGUAAUCGCGCAUCAGCCAUGGCGCGGUGAAUACGUUCCCGGGCCUUGUACACACCGCCCGUCAAGCCAUGAAAGCCGGGGGUACCUGAAGUACGUAACCGCAAGGAGCGUCCUAGGGUAAAACUGGUAAUUGG
Molecule: ribosomal RNA, 1433 nt
Filed under: uncultured organism
Description: 16S ribosomal RNA
Rfam family: Bacterial small subunit ribosomal RNA
Source: RNAcentral